This is a long non-coding RNA of Gossypium raimondii (Peruvian cotton), 657 nucleotides long. RefSeq lists it as uncharacterized. The record is from RefSeq and is a predicted model, not a curated record. The transcript is spliced from 2 exons. NCBI's taxonomy places the organism in Eukaryota, Viridiplantae, Streptophyta, Magnoliopsida, Malvales, Malvaceae.
UAGAGGCGAUGUCGUUUUUGCGUGAGGUCGAUUCCCGUUUUGUUGCUUUCCUGAAAUUAGUUUCUACUUUGUAAGCAGAAAAAAAGCGUAAAAAAGGAGGAACAAAGAGGGGAGCAGAAAGAUCGACGAGACAACGAUGGGGUAUGUAUUGAGGGUGAGAUUGGCUUCAUUCUUCACGGGGGCAGCAACAGCGUCCUUUCUGGGUCUCUACAUCUUGUACAAGGAUUACAAGGUCGCCCAUGAAUCCAUUGCCCAACGGGUGAAAAGGCUUCAUGAGCCCCUAGAUAGGCGAAUCUCUGCUCUGGAGAGUUUGAAACAAGGUGAAACUUCACAACAUGUGGAAGCAACAGAAUAGGUCCUUCGUGACAAAAAAAAAAAAAAAAAAAGAUUUUUCCUAAAUAUGCAAUUGGUUCCUCGGUAAUGUUUUUUUGUUUCUGCCCUCGUUAUAAAAGAGUAAUGGUGGUUGAACUAUUAUGUACUUUUGUAUGGAAUGAUGGUACACUCAGCCGGUUGACAUGAUUUACAUCAGUUAAUCUGUUUCUCAAUAAUGUAUGAAACGGUGAUUGCAUUUGAAAUUUAAGUCUAGGUGGAUUCAGAGACUCAUUGUAGUUCACUUUUCAGUCUUUGGUGAAUUGCUGCUUCAUAUCUUGCCGAUUA